Synchiropus splendidus (mandarinfish) is the source of this 467-nucleotide long non-coding RNA. RefSeq lists it as uncharacterized. Lineage: Eukaryota; Metazoa; Chordata; Actinopteri; Syngnathiformes; Callionymidae. The transcript is spliced from 3 exons. The record is from RefSeq and is a predicted model, not a curated record.
CUUCCCAGAACUUAAGAAUGAAGGGGAAAAAGAAAAGGGGCUGGUGCUCGAGUAGCACUUGGCUUCCUCUUUUGUCAAAACAUGAAAUUCUCGUGAAGCCCCUAUGAAGUCAACAAGAGGAAGUCGGCCACUAUAAGAACCAGCGAUCACUUCCGAGCUUCAACAUCUCCACCUGCUCGCUGAGUCGUCAUGGACCGACGUCUGCUGCUGGUCCUGCUGUCCCUGCAGGUUCUCCUGCUCAUCACCAGCUCCAGCCCCGCGGAGGCCGUCGCUCUGAGGAACAGGAGGGACACCACUCCGACCGAGCCUCCACAGUACCUGGACCGUUAUUACUUAGCUGGAGCGUACAGCUUCUUCUCCGUGCGCAAUCGACAGGUCCCGCUCUGAGCCGUCUCCACCUUUGUCAAAGGCGACGUUGCUUCUUCCAAACAAAUGUGCUCUCAUUGAAAUCAAUAAACAUCUCUGCA